AUUGAACGCUGGCGGCAUGCCUUACACAUGCAAGUCGAACGGUAACAGGUCUUCGGACGCUGACGGGUGGCGAACGGGUGAGUAAUACAUCGGAACGUGCCCAGUCGUGGGGGAUAACUACUCGAAAGAGUAGCUAAUACCGCAUACGAUCUGAGGAUGAAAGCGGGGGACCUUCGGGCCUCGCGCGAUUGGAGCGGCCGAUGGCAGAUUAGGUAGUUGGUGGGAUAGUGGCUUACCAAGGCUUUGACGGGUAGCCGGCCUGAGAGGGUGACCGGCCACAUUGGGACUGAGAUACGGCCCAG
This 302-nucleotide ribosomal RNA is filed under the name uncultured bacterium. RNAcentral's name for it is "bacterial SSU rRNA". It matches the Rfam family "Bacterial small subunit ribosomal RNA", at positions 30 to 334 of the family's 1533-position model. The record is from RNAcentral.